UUACUCUACCGGCCGUAGAAGUCAAGUCCAACCGGCGAACCAGUACACGCCGACAUAUCUACCAACAAGAACAAGACUACUACAAGUACUUAAACAACAACUACAAUUGGGCGAAUAUCGGACAAGCAACAAUACAGCGCAGUUCCACACGAGAGCAACAGUUCAGAAUAAGUUAAUAACACGACUGGACACACCAGGGAACCACACAAGAUUCCGGUUGGACGUCGUACCGAUAGAGUGCUCGAGUGGCAACGUACCAAACUAGACUAAAACACACCAAGAUCGGCCACGAAUUUAAAACAGGUGUAUAAAUACCUACUUCGGGUGUGUAUGUAUGAGUACCUAAACUAAAACGCGAUACGGGAAAUCUUGUUAGUUCGAUAGUCCACUCUUAACUAAGCACCGAGAAAGAAAAAAACUUAACCAACAAUACACCAAGAACCCCUGAGUUUGAGACAAGGUAAAGAAAAAAUGGAGGAUAAAUACCUGAGUGAAAACAAUCCCUCAGCUAACUCCUGGUUUACCCAUAGAACAGCGAGUAGAGGUCGUUUAGUCCGCAGUUAGACAGGUACCGCCUCGUCUCUUACGCACUGGUGUUGGGUGGGUUGACUGUCAUUAGGAAACAAGAACGUAACGUAACGUUGGAGUACGAACUGACGUGUAGAACCAACACACUACACUACCCUUGUAUAUAACAGUAUGGGAGAAGAUACACAACAAAGCCCUACGAAUAUACGUAUGAACGAUUUUCUUGAUAUGUACAAGAAAAGAAUAUUUCAAGUCUAGACUGUUGGUUCCCUUGUAAUGGGUAGUUGAUUUCUGUGUCAUGCUUCUAUUGGGUCAUUUUUUAUGAGUCAAGAAGUACGGCUAAUUUUUUUGUUAAUUGGUCAGGGAGGAAAAUUUAACCAACGAAACGAUAUAACGAUCCAAACUUCCGCCCGAUCCAAGUUAAAAAAUUCUACUCGAUCCAAACUACUACGUGGAAUUCGUUAUCAAAUACUUAUACGGUUAAUGACACCGACCGACACUGUAAGAAUUUACUCUUCAUCUGUCCGGAACAUAUUCUACGUAAUAUGUCAAGAUUAGUUCAUUAAUACCUGUACAAGUUAAUAUCCGGUUCGGGAAACCACACGAUUUACUAAUUUACAACAAUAGAUUGACUUCGUGAACCUUGAAGACACGUCUCCCAAUAAAAAAGGAAAUUUGUUUACUUACAGUCGAGUAUUGUAUACUGCUACGAUAGGAUUGACCGAUUAAUUAAACCGGCAUACUUCAACAUAUAAAUUCGGCGUCCACAAACAACAUCACGUACCUCAAAUAGCACUACCGGGAAAACUCAGAGGGGAAAGACAAGCUUGAAGUUGUCUUUUGAUUGGUUUCUAAUUGUUCGUACUAUACCAUUUAAAUUUAACAGUUAAAAUUUGAAGUAUGAUAUUAUAAAAUGUAGACUAACCACGAGUACAGAUACAUAAGAUUGUAAAAUAAACGAACUGUGGGAAGUUCAACUUUUAUUUGAUACUCAGUAACUACUGUAAUGACUGACUGACACAACAUAAUAUCCUGAUUGAUAUUCAUUUGAAAAAGUUCAGUCGUAUAACACUACAAUCGUACGGGGGACUUCCUGACGCCCUCAAGAACGGUGCGAAUUAUGUUUGAAACCACAGUUUGUACCAGAUGUGACUGCUACUACUUAGUGAACAACUACGACUCCAAACUUCUGCCCGAUCCAAGUUUUAAAAUUCUACCCGAUCCAAAGUGAUCGCACACGGUAGCUGAACCAGAGUUGGUAGAAUCCCGUUGGGCAGCGAAAUCCCUCUACCGCCAGGGAAACUGCCGGAGGCCCGAGCCGAGUUACUAACCCUGGCCAGUAGCAACCACCGCCGCUUCCACCAUACCUCAAAACUGGUACCUUCUCGGGCAUGUUGAGUCUUCCGUUUCAACCCUUCGAGGAUGUUUCCAUUUACGAAACCAUGUACGUAUAUCUACGAACUAGUAAAUAACACUUAAUAACUCUUUAUUUCUUUAUUACGCGAGAACUCUAAACAAACAACACUUUCCAUUUAAUAACAAGAUCUAAACGUGUCUAUGGUAGGUAAUAUAUGGUUACACAAGUGAAGACAUGACGGCGUCCGAUACCGUAAUCGGGUAAUCAUAAUGUACAACACACCAGACUGAUAAUGUUACGUAUAGAUCUUCAUAGAUAGUGCUCCGUUGAUCGGACUUUCACCUAGAUGGUGCACGACGAGGACAGGGGAGAGGGAGUUAAGUAGGAGUACCUAGACUGUUCCACUGACAGAGGAAGAGACGAGAGUUGCGGAGAUUAAACAAAGAAUUUUAAGUUGAUAAAGAUACAAAGAUGGAUAACGGAGACAGUUACGUUACCGAAUUCGGGGGUCCAUCGACGUAUUAAGUAAGUACAGUACGCAAUUUGUUUAGCUAAGAUGAGUUAUGGAGAAUGGGUGAUUAACUCGUAGUUAUAUCUGACUAAUAAUGACGAAUUUCUUUAGUGAUUUACAUAGUCGUACUAACGAACACGAGUCUGUUAUUAUAAAUAAAGUACAAUUAGAUGUUUACAAGAAAUGGUGUACUUCUAAAGUGUUACCUAACGAAUGAUCGAACCAAAACAAGACAUUGUAUUCAAUGUACUGUGACUUUGUACGUAUCGGGUGUAUCAAAGAAAAGUACAUAUUAACAAAGAAAACAAGUGACCUACGAAGUAAUGAUUUAGAGAUGUAAACACGUAUAGAAGAUAGACUGGAUUGUGUGUACAUGAUGUAUAACGGUACUCAAAGUUUUUAAUCUACAAGGACCUCUAUAAGGUUUAAACUAAUAGAUACGGAUAAACUACUGGUUGAAGGAAGAUUCUUUUUUUUGGGUCGUAGAUAGAGUCAAUGAAGGGAAAAUACAUAUUAUCCAUGAAAGUAAUUCACGUACGAACUAAUCAUUUUGAAAUGUAAAUGUGUAUACAUAGAAUGGAUUCUGUACAGAUGGUGUUAGGACAAAAAAGAUACCCGUAACUUAUUACUCGCUACCUCCGACAUAUAGUACUCCAGCAAGCCGUACCUAUCCCGAGCAGUACGCCGCGGCAGGAGGGCUGGAGGAAGGGUAGUAUCGGAAUACCCUUAACCGAAUGUUUCACUCAAAUAUGAAAUUUAGUAUAGGAAAGAAUUAUAUACACGAACAGGUAAGUCCAAAUAGAAGCGAACCUUAACCACCUUCGUUAAAAUAGGGGGUAAAAGAAAGAGAUACAAGACAAAAGAUUCGUUGUAUUCACCACAGUUAUUAUACACUAUGAACACGUAAAGAUAGAAAUCCGUCCUGUAGGAAAAGUGUUGUUCUCUACUUUUACGAGGAUAACAUGGAAGCGAAAAUACAAUCGCACACAACGAAAACUUGUUAACAGAAAAUACAGCGGUAAGUACAUUUGAUGUUC
RNAcentral lists this ribosomal RNA (3433 nucleotides) under Triticum aestivum (bread wheat). Its description in RNAcentral is "partial small subunit ribosomal RNA". The record is from RNAcentral. Lineage: Eukaryota; Viridiplantae; Streptophyta; Magnoliopsida; Poales; Poaceae.